This 251-nucleotide ribosomal RNA is filed under the name uncultured bacterium. Its description in RNAcentral is "partial 16S ribosomal RNA". It matches the Rfam family "Bacterial small subunit ribosomal RNA", at positions 103 to 354 of the family's 1533-position model. The record is from RNAcentral.
CGGGUGAGUAACGCGUGGAGAACCUGCCGUAUACUGGGGGAUAACACUUAGAAAUAGGUGCUAAUACCGCAUAAGCGCACAGCUUCGCAUGAAGCAGUGUGAAAAACUCCGGUGGUAUACGAUGGAUCCGCGUCUGAUUAGCUGGUUGGCGGGGUAAAGGCCCACCAAGGCGACGAUCAGUAGCCGGCCUGAGAGGGCGGACGGCCACAUUGGGACUGAGACACGGCCCAGACUCCUACGGGAGGCAGCAG